RNAcentral lists this signal recognition particle RNA (117 nucleotides) under Nomascus leucogenys (northern white-cheeked gibbon). Its description in RNAcentral is "Metazoan signal recognition particle RNA". It matches the Rfam family "Metazoan signal recognition particle RNA". Rfam says of the family: The signal recognition particle (SRP) is a universally conserved ribonucleoprotein. It is involved in the co-translational targeting of proteins to membranes. The eukaryotic SRP consists of a 300-nucleotide 7S RNA and six proteins: SRPs 72, 68, 54, 19, 14, and 9. The record is from Rfam by way of RNAcentral. Lineage: Eukaryota; Metazoa; Chordata; Mammalia; Primates; Hylobatidae.
GCUGGGUGUGGUGGCUCACGCCUGUAAUCCCAGCACUUUGGGAGGCUGAGGUGGGUGGAUCACCUGAGGUCAGGAGUUCGAGACCAGCCUGACCAACAUGGUGAAACCCCAUCUCUA